CAUUGCAGAGGUCGGAAAUGGUUCCCGACGCACUCGAAAGAGUACCUGAGAUGCAGGAUACACCGCCCUGCCUGCACGU
RNAcentral lists this non-coding RNA (79 nucleotides) under unclassified sequences. RNAcentral's name for it is "skipping-rope RNA". It matches the Rfam family "skipping-rope RNA". Rfam says of the family: Firmicutes, Fusobacteria, AlphaProteobacteria, Spirochaetes. Downstream gene The record is from Rfam by way of RNAcentral.